Equus asinus (donkey) is the source of this 2503-nucleotide long non-coding RNA. NCBI's taxonomy places the organism in Eukaryota, Metazoa, Chordata, Mammalia, Perissodactyla, Equidae. The record is from Ensembl.
CCCCUUUAAGUAGUCAGUUAAAAGACUGCUCAGAGCAUCGCUGUCAUCACUCUGCACUGCGGCAGCUCUGAAUUCAAAGUAUAAUAAGGAAAGGACAGUUGCCAUUCACCCAGGAAUGUACUUAUGCAUUUUUAGUCUUAUAAAAUUUGAAGUAAACUGUGGGAUGAUUUAUGAAGGAGUUAGAAUGAACAAUAGAGAGGUUUGAACUAAAGAAAUAAAUAACGGAGAUGACCAUUUAAAAUUUGCAGUGAGGUAAAAUUUGAUCAUACAUAAAAUUCACCUUUAUUACUAUUAUCAACAGUCAACUCCUUGUCAGUUAUGUAUAUAAACUGUGGUUUUAACCAUCUAUGGUAAAUUUUCACCCCUACCCUGGGUUUCCUUGCCUAUCCAAGAAGUCCUGGCUGACUUUUCCCAGUUACUGGGAACUUCUUAAGGGAUAAGGUUGUUGUUCUUAACUAAAUAUGUACUGCGUUCCAAAAUACAGUGCGCAGGCUGCUGCUCUCAGAUGAGUGAGCCAGCUCUUCUAUGCAAAGGAGAGAGCGUCACAUGGGAAAAUGAUGCAGACCCCAGGGCCUUGCCUCUGCUCCGCUUCUGACCAAGAUGCAGGCAGACAGCGAGACCUGUGGCUGAGCCCAGCUGACAGACAGGUGAGGGGCAAUCUUUUCUUUUCCUCACUGACGUGGCUCUAGAGACAGCAGUACAGCAUCCCCUACAGACUGCUCGUGCCACUGUCUCAUUUCCCUAACAGUCAUUUGGUAUCGCCCAUUAAACAGGUGCUUUAUCGAGCACCGCACGCAAGCAGUGCUCUGUGCUGGGGUAGGCUCCUAACGGUAAACAUCAGACUGGCGUUCCUUGUGCGAGCUCGAGCAGACUCGCUUUGCCUUCUCCUCCAUGGACAAGGCAAAUAAUUUACCAGGAUCUUUUUCAUACAAGCUAUUCAGAUGACAGGCAGUAACUGUCACUUCUUAAUCUUCUCCAGCAUUGGAUUUGCUAAAUAUAUUUUAAAAACAUUACAUAAAAACAACACAAACCAAUACAGAAACCCCACAUGCUGAUGCAUGGAUAUGUGUUUCCAGAGGGAAAGGAAGCCUCAUCUAUAUAUAUAUAUUUUUUUUGCUUGAGGAAGCUUGUCCCUAAGCUAACAUCUAUGCCAAUCUUCCUCUUUUUUUGCAUGUGGGACGCUGCCACAGCAUGGCUUGAUGAACCGUGUGUAGGUCCAUACCUGGGAUCUGAACCCAUGAACCCCAGGCUGCCCAAGCAGAGUGAGUGAACCUAACCACUACACCACCAGGCUGCCUCAUUUUUUUUGGGUGAGCAAGAUUAGCUCUGAGCUAACAUCCAUGCCAGUCCUCCUCCACUUUGUAUGCGGGAUGCCUCCACAGCAUGGCUGAUGAGUGGAGUAGGCCUGCACCCAGGGUCUGAACCCGUGAACCUGGGCCACCUGAAGCAGAGUGCACAGAACUUUAAUCACUGGGCCGCGGGGCAGCCCCUUCAUCUGUAUUUUCACCCCAGAUGGAAGCGUUAAAACGUGUUAUUCAUUCUGUCAAUGCUCACUGAGCUCCUGUGAUGCGCCACACUGGAUUAAGCGCUGCAGGGCACUGGGGGGUGAAGGCGCUGGGGGCCGGUCUCCUGGGGACGAGGCGUUCUGCACAGGCCGCUGUGGGAGCGAGAGCAGUGGAGGUCGGAGCUUCCUCCGGGAGGGGCCGCAGCUCACCAGGGUCUGACACGCUGCGGACAUUCCCAGGACCCUGCAUCAGCCAGCCAGGACUAUGCUCCUCUGCUUGCUGCUGAACUGUGUUUUUUUGCCUGACGGUAAGCUGUUGUUACUCGGAUCAGAUAAACCAGACCUAAAAGCAAACCGACACGCAAAGGAAUGAAACCUGGCUCUUCGGAGUGCGGUGACAGAGUCCUGUGAAAGCAAAUGAUGAUUCUUUUAUGGGAAAUGGUGAAAAAGAGCCUGAUAGUGGGCUAAUUCUCUAGUGCAGAACAUUGCCUUCUGCUACAUUUUCGCUUCCUUUGGAUCAGUAAUAGUGUUAUUUGGGGUCAAGGGUCCUUUUGAGGACCUGAUUGAAACUAUGGUCCCUCCAGUGGCAGGAGACAGUCUCAGGAGAGGGCUGCACAUUCUCCAUGUCUCAGGUCACACACCCUUCGUAUGAUUCCCAAACAUGGAACUGACCCUGCCAGGCGUCAAAAUGUGUCAUAAAGCUGCAAUAAAUGAGUGUGAUUCUGGUACAAGUAUUCAAUAGGAAAGAAUAAAAGUGAAGAAAGUCCUAAAAGCAUAUCAAAUCCAUGGAAAAGUUGGGUUUUUAUAAUGGUAUGGUGAAAAGUAACAAAUCAUGUGAAAAGAAAUGUUAGACUUCUGCCUCAAACCACCCCCUGCCGAAAGGAAUUCCAGCUGGUUAAACACUGACGUGUAAAAACUAAAACUGUUAAAGAAUUAGAAUAACAAAAAUACAGGUGAAUAGUUUCUUAUCACUGAGUGGGAAAAACCUAAGCGGCAAUC